This is a long non-coding RNA of Bactrocera dorsalis (oriental fruit fly), 702 nucleotides long. RefSeq lists it as uncharacterized. NCBI's taxonomy places the organism in Eukaryota, Metazoa, Arthropoda, Insecta, Diptera, Tephritidae. The transcript is spliced from 3 exons. The record is from RefSeq and is a predicted model, not a curated record.
ACAAUGGAAAAUGUUAUACAAAACGCCAAUUUUAAGGCGCCGCCACGCUGAAGUUGGACAUCCCUUCAUACCUGAUAAAAGCAUUUAUAAAGAUGGUGUCAACUAAAUAAGUAAUAAGCAGUAAAAAAUUAAAAUUAUCGAGUUUGUAUACAGAAGUGACUAAACAAUUGGAAUAAGCGGUGGAUAGCAUUUCCCAGACACGCUGCCUUUUUACAACAAAAAAUUGGCAUAUAGUGAAUAACAAAUUUAGGGAAUAUAAUUUUCAUACCAAAGAGCGUAGACACCACCACGACACCACGCGGUUACAGCCGAGUUCACAACAGCGCGCCAAUCGUUCUUCCUUCCCGCUGUUUGGCGUCAAUUGGAGAUUCCAAGUGCAGCCGAUCUCUUGUUCCUCAGCUUCCUUCGCCGGGUUCUGCGUCAAGUACUUUCAGCGCUGGAGCGUUUUCAUCCAUUUGGAGGACAUGACCCAGCCAGCGUAGUCGCUGCCUCUUAAUUCGUUGAACUAUGUCAUAUGCAUUUAUACCCAUACAUAUGGGUAGCCGUAAAACUUCCGUUUGAACGCGAGCUAAAGUGAGAAGGCGAAAUAUUCCGCCUCGUAAUAAACCCUAACAAUGAACUGAAGAAAACAGCCUCGGAUAAGAUACCCCCAUUUUGAUGACGACCCCUGCAAACGUGUUAUUUAAUUUCUGAACAAUAAAA